This 445-nucleotide ribosomal RNA is filed under the name uncultured bacterium. RNAcentral's name for it is "partial 16S ribosomal RNA". It matches the Rfam family "Bacterial small subunit ribosomal RNA", at positions 354 to 796 of the family's 1533-position model. The record is from RNAcentral.
GUGAGGAAUAUUGGUCAAUGGGCGAGAGCCUGAACCAGCCAAAUCGCGUGAAGGAUGAAGGUAUUAUGUAUUGUAAACUUCUUUUAUCGGGGAAUAAAGUGCGGGACGUGUCCCGUUUUGUAUGUACCCGAAGAAUAAGGAUCGGCUAACUCCGUGCCAGCAGCCGCGGUAAUACGGAGGAUCCAAGCGUUAUCCGGAUUUAUUGGGUUUAAAGGGUGCGUAGGCGGACUGUCAAGUCAGCGGUGAAAGUCCAUGGCUCAACCAUGGAAUUGCCGUUGAAACUGUCGGUCUUGAGUGUAGAUGAAGUAGGCGGAAUUCGUAGUGUAGCGGUGAAAUGCUUAGAUAUUACGAAGAACUCCAAUUGCGUAGGCAGCUUACCAGGCUACAACUGACGCUGAGGCACGAAGGUGCGGGGAUCAAACAGGAUUAGAAACCCUAGUAGUCC